Oncorhynchus gorbuscha (pink salmon) is the source of this 693-nucleotide long non-coding RNA. RefSeq lists it as uncharacterized. The record is from RefSeq and is a predicted model, not a curated record. The transcript is spliced from 3 exons. Lineage: Eukaryota; Metazoa; Chordata; Actinopteri; Salmoniformes; Salmonidae.
CACAGUUGCAGGAGCGAAUCCAUGAUCUGGAGAAGGAGAGAGAGCUGCUAAAAGAGAACUGUGAUAAACUAAUUAACAGAAAUUUGGGACGUUGCUGAAACUACAGUUAGUCCAGCUAGAGGUGGCACUGAAGUCUGACCUGACAGACCAAAACAAGAUUCUGGACAAGAUCAAAGUUGAAAGAGAAGAGGCGCCAGCAGCAGAAGAUGAGGAUCAGACUGAAUCGAUCCUCUCAGACAGUGAUGACUGCAUUGUUCCUGGCCAGUCCUCCAUGGGAAGGAAGGUGGGUAAACCAGGGAUACAGGAUAGAACCUAGCCUGUUUACCUUGUACACUUCGAUGAACCUCAGUCCGUAGAGGAUAGGAGUAUAGUACCGUUGGAUAGAAAGUACUGUAUCAAGGUUAUUGGGCUUGUUGUGUUUAUAUCAAGACCGUUGGAUCAUGAGGGUCCAGCAUCACAGGAAUAAAACAGCAACAUCCAGAUGAAAGCUGUACAUCAGCUUUGGAAAGACAAGUUUUUUCUCAACAAGUCUAGUUGCCUUUGUUUGUUUUUAUUAGAUUUGUAUUGUUUAUCUUGCCAACGCCAUUGUUUGGACGAACCUCAAGUGCUGUAGGUAUAUCUGCUUCAUGCUGAGGUUUGGUACUGAUAGCCUUUAACCAGUUUGGCAGAUGAGAUUUUUUUCUUCUUAUUGAA